CACGUAGGCGGAUAUUUAAGUCAGGGGUGAAAUCCAGAGCUCAACUCUGGAACUGCCUUUGAUGCUGGGUAUCUUGAGUAUGGAAGAGGUAAGUGGAAUUCCGAGUGUAGAGGUGAAAUUCGUAGAUAUUCGGAGGAACACCAGUGGCGAAGGCGGCUUACUGGUCCAUUACUGACGCUGAGGUGCGAAAGCGUGGGGAGCAAACA
RNAcentral lists this ribosomal RNA (206 nucleotides) under uncultured bacterium. RNAcentral describes it as "partial 16S ribosomal RNA". It matches the Rfam family "Bacterial small subunit ribosomal RNA", at positions 568 to 774 of the family's 1533-position model. The record is from RNAcentral.